Molecule: ribosomal RNA, 966 nt
Filed under: Typhlocharis silvanoides
Lineage: Eukaryota; Metazoa; Arthropoda; Insecta; Coleoptera; Carabidae
Description: SSU rRNA
Rfam family: Eukaryotic small subunit ribosomal RNA
Source: RNAcentral
CAAAUUACCCACUCCCGGCACGGGGAGGUAGUGACGAAAAAUAACGAUACGGGACUCAUCCGAGGCCCCGUAAUCGGAAUGAGUACACUUUAAAUCCUUUAACAAUUAGCAAUUGGAGGGCAAGUCUGGUGCCAGCAGCCGCGGUAAUUCCAGCUCCAAUAGCGUAUAUUAAAGUUGUUGCGGUUAAAAAGCUCGUAGUUGAACUUGUGUUCCGCGCUGUCGGUUCACCGCCCGCGGUGUUUAACUGGCACGUCCGCGGAACGUCCUGCCGGUGGAUGCGUAGACCCUGUAUUCUUCCCCAUUGUGCGUGUGCAACUCCGGUUGUUACUGUAUGAUGUGGUGGGGUUGCAGGUGUUCUACCAUCCGACUCAAUAAUCCUGUCGCGGUGCUCUUAAUUGAGUGUCGAGGCGGGCCGGCACGUUUACUUUGAACAAAUUAGAGUGCUCAAAGCAGGCUAAAAUUUCGCCUGAAUACUGUGUGCAUGGAAUAAUGGAACAGGACCUCGGUUCUAUUUUGUUGGUUUUCGGAACCCCGAGGUAAUGAUUAAUAGGGACAGAUGGGGGCAUUCGUAUUGCGACGUUAGAGGUGAAAUUCUUGGAUCGUCGCAAGACGGACAGAAGCGAAAGCAUUUGCCAAAAAUGUUUUCAUUAAUCAAGAACGAAAGUCAGAGGUUCGAAGGCGAUCAGAUACCGCCCUAGUUCUGACCAUAAACGAUGCCAGCUAGCGAUCCGCCGACGUUCCUCCGAUGACUCGGCGGGCAGCUUCCGGGAAACCAAAGCUUUUGGGUUCCGGGGGAAGUAUGGUUGCAAAGCUGAAACUUAAAGGAAUUGACGGAAGGGCACCACCAGGAGUGGAGCCUGCGGCUUAAUUUGACUCAACACGGGAAAUCUCACCAGGCCCGGACACCGGAAGGAUUGACAGAUUGAGAGCUCUUUCUUGAUUCGGUGGGUGGUGGUGCAUGGCCGU